This 468-nucleotide ribosomal RNA is filed under the name uncultured bacterium. RNAcentral's name for it is "partial 16S ribosomal RNA". It matches the Rfam family "Bacterial small subunit ribosomal RNA", at positions 28 to 507 of the family's 1533-position model. The record is from RNAcentral.
GACGAACGCUGGCGGCGUGCUUAACACAUGCAAGUCGAACGGAAAGGCCCUGCUCUUGUGGGGUGGUCGUUUGGCGAACGGGUGAGUAACACGUGAGUAACCUGCCCUUGACUGUGUGAUAACUUUAGGAAACUGGGGCUAAUAUCGGAUAUGAUCUCUUGCGGCAUGGGGUGGGUUGGUAAGUUUCGGCGGUUGGGGAUGGACUCGCGGCUUAUCAGCUUGUUGGUGGGGUAGUGGCUUACCAAGGCUUUGACGGGUAGCCGGCCUGAGAGGGUGACCGGCCACAUUGGGACUGAGAUACGGCCCAGACUCCUACGGGAGGCAGCAGUGGGGAAUAUUGCACAAUGGGCGGAAGCCUGAUGCAGCAACGCCGCGUGCGGGAUGACGGCCUUCGGGUUGUAAACCGCUUUCGCCUGUGACGAAGCGUGAGUGACGGUAAUGGGUAAAGAAGCACCGGCUAACUACGUG